GAUCGGAUGCUAUGCUACUCUACACACAUGUCAAGUGAGAGCAUCUUCCAUAAUUUUUCCUUUUGCUGUUUUUUUUUUAGUAGACAUCCAAAUUAUUUCCGGUUUUUUAAUUUUUAUGUCGAAAGUAUGGAGCCGAAUAGCUUACCUAUAAUUGAAUCCAGAUGUCUGAUAAUCGAAAAAAGCUUUUUGGAAUACAGUAAAAGAAAGUCUGAAAUGGAAGAAUUAGUUAGAAAUAGAAUCGAGUUCCCAAAACCAAAAUGUAAAGGUGACAGAAACUGAAUUAAUAGUGGUCAAUAGCAGGGAAUAAAAGAAGAACUUGGUGAAUAACAAAACUGCAACAGAAGAUGUUUUAUUAAAAAAACAAAGACCUGAAGAGGUGAAUAGUGGAGAUGGAUGAGGAAACAGUUAAGCCCCACCUUCACAUCCAGCAAGAUAAAAAUUAUGUACGAAACAAUAUUGGAGAUAACUUGAUGAUUGACCUUCACGCAACCAAGAGUGACUCCGCCAACAUUAAAGAGGUUUUGAACCGAUUUACUAUUGAUAUUAUUGCAAGCGUUGGUUUUCGACUGGAACGCAAUGGAGGAUCCGGACUGUGAAUUUAGCGAGCAGGGAAGAAUGCUAACGAAUCCCCCUCUUAGAAGCGUGUUUUGGGUGAUUUUUUGGAAAUUAUUGGGCGUCGAAAAGAUGCCGGAGGGCUUCCACAAGGCCGAGCAAUUUUUCAAGAAAAUGGUCGAAGAGAACGUGAAUUAUCGAGAACAGAGCAAGAUUUACCGGAUUUUUCCGAUGAAUUCCCUUGUAUUCAGUGGAAGGAGAGGGAGCAAGCGCCUUGCUUCUUGAUGGUCCUACACCGAGUUUAUCAGCGCUAACAUUGUUGCCGAUUUAAUGAUGCUUCUUUUGGUAGAGUAUAGGGAUAGGCGCUAGUGAUGGCCAAAACUUGUCAAUAAAUCUAUUCACCCAAUUAAUCGGGUAGAAUAAAUCAGUUGAGACAAAAAAUUGAAUCGGGUAAAAUAAUUUAAAAAAUGUUCUAACAAAAAUUAUCUACCUUAAAAAUAUAUUUGCUAGAUCAAAGAAAACAAACAUCACCAGAAAUUAUUGAUUUAUUUUAUUUUUUUUAUUUAGAAGUCUAUAACAAAUAGACAAAAAUAUAACCAGUGCUCGCCAAGCUUUCAUAGAAGGCCUGUCUACGGGUAUUAAAGUACCUUCGGGAAAAGGAAAAAGACUUAUAAUCACACAUAUUGGAAGCGAAGAGGGAUUUUUAAAAGAAGGUCUGCUAACCUUUGAGUCGACUCGCACAGGAGAUUACCAUGAAGACAUGAACUCAGACGUUUUCGAGGACUAUUUUGGUGAAAUGAUAAAAUUUCUUCCGGCUAAUUCGGUGGUGGUUAUGGAUAACGCAAGCUAUCAUUCACGGCGAAUAGAGAAGACGCCAACUUCAAAUUGGAGAAAGCAAGAAAUUAUCGAUUGGCUGACUGCAAAAGGUAUUGCGUUUGAAGCAAAUUUGAUAAAAAAAGAACUGCUGGCAAUAGCAAACUUACACAAAACUCGUUUCAUGAAAUACGCCGUGGAAGAUAUAGCCGAAAAAUAUAAUAUAACUGUACUGCGCUUACCGCCAUAUCAUUGCGAACUAAAUCCUAUAGAACUGAUAUGGGCGCAGGUAAAAGGAUUUGUAGCAAGACAAAACACGACUUUUAAAAUGAAAGAUGUUACUAUUUGAUCAAGCUACUGUUUGAUCAAGCCAUUACGGAAGCGACACCAGAGAAUUGGCGAAAAGCAGUCCAGCAUGUAAUUAAGCAAGAGGACAAAAUGUGGGAUCUUGACAACCUCAUCGAUCAGACAGUCGAUCCUUUAAUUAUAAUGUCAAGAGGUGAUGACAGUUCGUCAGAUGACGAAGAAGACUACAAUCUAUUAUAAUUUAAAAUUGUUAUACACUGUUCAAAAAGUGCCAGAUCCAAAAGUGACAUUUUCAACUGUUUUACUCUACAUAUUAUGUUCAAUAAAUUUGUGAAAAAAAUAUAUUAUUCCAUUUAAACAAAAGUAACUUUCUAAAAUAAAAUAGCAUUUAAGUACAUUAAUUAUAAGGUAAAAAACAAGUCCCAGUUGCACGCCUUUGGCGAACCGUUUUCAAUGUUUAUCAGUGGGUAACAAUGGGCAAAACUCAUAAAUUGACCCAAAACCGGGUGGCACUACCUGCAAUCAACGAAAAGAAAGAAUUUUACAUUGAAACUAAUACCCAACUAAGGUAGUGGCAUAAAAUAUUGGUGGAUCACCAGGUACCACUUUUGCAUACCUAAUGAGGUUUUAUUGCUCUACACACUUCUGAAAUAGAGUA
This 2329-nucleotide long non-coding RNA is filed under the name Anthonomus grandis grandis. RNAcentral's name for it is "uncharacterized LOC126737183". The record is from RNAcentral. Lineage: Eukaryota; Metazoa; Arthropoda; Insecta; Coleoptera; Curculionidae.